RNAcentral lists this transfer RNA (77 nucleotides) under Olsenella sp. An188. Its description in RNAcentral is "tRNA-Met". It matches the Rfam family "tRNA". Rfam says of the family: Transfer RNA (tRNA) molecules are approximately 80 nucleotides in length. Their secondary structure includes four short double-helical elements and three loops (D, anti-codon, and T loops). The record is from RNAcentral. Lineage: Bacteria; Bacillati; Actinomycetota; Coriobacteriia; Coriobacteriales; Atopobiaceae. RNAcentral also lists the same sequence under 1 other name.
UGCGGGGUGGAGCAGUCUGGUAGCUCGUCGGGCUCAUAACCCGGAGGUCGUAGGUUCAAAUCCUGCCCCCGCGACCA